UCGCAUGAGGGAUGGAAAUGGCAUCUCCCGAUUUAGAAAAACAAGGCUUUUUGCCGUAGUUUUUGUUAAUCUGGAAUACAAUGGACAGCCCGACCUUGU
RNAcentral lists this small RNA (99 nucleotides) under Flavobacterium sp. 103. RNAcentral describes it as "Flavo-1 RNA". The record is from RNAcentral. Lineage: Bacteria; Pseudomonadati; Bacteroidota; Flavobacteriia; Flavobacteriales; Flavobacteriaceae.